AACGAACGCUGGCGGCAUGCCUAACACAUGCAAGUCGAACGAGACCUUCGGGUCUAGUGGCGCACGGGGGCGUAACGCGUGGGAACCUGCCCUUAGGUUCGGAAUAACUCCCCGAAAGGGGUGCUAAUACCGGAUAAUGUCUUCGGACCAAAGAUUUAUCGCCUUUGGAUGGGCCCGCGUUGGCUUAGCUGGUUGGUAGGGUAAAAGCCUACCAAGGCGACGAUCCAUAGCUGGUCUGAGAGGAUGAUCAGCCGCACUGGGACUGAGACACGGCCCCGACUCCUACGGGAGGCAGCAGUGGGGAAUAUUGGACAAUGGGCGAAAGCCUGAUCCCGCAAUGCCGCGUGAGUGAUGAAGGCCUUAGGGUUGUACAGCUCUUUUACCCGGGAUGAUAAUGACAGUACCGGGAGAAUAAGCUCCGGCUAACUCCGUG
This 433-nucleotide ribosomal RNA is filed under the name uncultured bacterium. Its description in RNAcentral is "partial 16S ribosomal RNA". It matches the Rfam family "Bacterial small subunit ribosomal RNA", at positions 29 to 507 of the family's 1533-position model. The record is from RNAcentral.